This 74-nucleotide transfer RNA is filed under the name Desulfamplus sp. RNAcentral describes it as "tRNA-Arg". It matches the Rfam family "tRNA". From Rfam's summary of the family: Transfer RNA (tRNA) molecules are approximately 80 nucleotides in length. Their secondary structure includes four short double-helical elements and three loops (D, anti-codon, and T loops). The record is from RNAcentral. Lineage: Bacteria; Pseudomonadati; Thermodesulfobacteriota; Desulfobacteria; Desulfobacterales; Desulfobacteraceae.
GCGCCUGUAGCUCAGUUGGAUAGAGCGUCGGACUUCGAAUCCGCAGGUCGCACGUUCGAAUCGUGUCAGGCGCA